This is a long non-coding RNA of Brienomyrus brachyistius, 568 nucleotides long. RefSeq lists it as uncharacterized. NCBI's taxonomy places the organism in Eukaryota, Metazoa, Chordata, Actinopteri, Osteoglossiformes, Mormyridae. The transcript has 3 exons. The record is from RefSeq and is a predicted model, not a curated record.
GACGGAGUUAAACGUUCCGGGACCAUUCCAGUGUAACUAAGCGCAUGUCCUGUUGUAACUCAAUUAACGAUCCCCUGAUGGUGCAAAACAAAGCACGCCACCCACGCCACGUUACCAAGAUCGCCAUUGUGGGGACAGACACCUGUGCCGUCCGAGCAAAUAUGAGUCACCGGGGGAAAAUAGCACUGCAACGCUUACCGCCGGUGCAGACACAAGUAACCGUCUUUUUACUCAGUUCACCUUCGUCCAUCUAUAAAAAGGUCACGCAGGCUUUCUGGAGCAAGAGGAAUAUCGCGGCCAAGGAAUAUCGCGAAUGAAAUAGGAACCCAGCUGAUUAAUAGCGUGAUCAGCACUGAGAAUGAAUCCUAGCCGCCGCACUGUCUGGAACCACCAGAACAGGCAGGCAGGACUAGGAGCACCGGAGAACACAGCACAGUAGGACUCAAAGAGGAACAUGGGUUGUUUUGAACUUCGAUUGCUGAUGUCACCCAGGUAUUUGCUGCUGGGUGAGUCCAUGCUGAGUUACUAUGGAAACCAUUAAAAUCCAAUGGGAGCAGAGGAGACUCAG